GACGAACGCUGGCGGCGUGCCUAAUACAUGCAAGUAGAACGCACAGUUUAUACCGUAGCUUGCUACACCAUAAACUGUGAGUUGCGAACGGGUGAGUAACGCGUAGGUAACCUGCCUGGUAGCGGGGGAUAACUAUUGGAAACGAUAGCUAAUACCGCAUAAUAUUGAUUAUUGCAUGAUAAUUGAUUGAAGGAUGCUAUUGCAUCACUACCAGAUGGACCUGCGUUGUAUUAGCUAGUAGGUGAGGUAACGGCUCACCUAGGCGACGAUACAUAGCCGACCUGAGAGGGUGAUCGGCCACACUGGGACUGAGACACGGCCCAGACUCCUACGGGAGGCAGCAGUAGGGAAUCUUCGGCAAUGGACGAAAGUCUGACCGAGCAACGCCGCGUGAGUGAAGAAGGUUUUCGGAUCGUAAAGCUCUGUUGUAAGAGAAGAACGGGUGUGAGAGUGGAAAGUUCACACUGUGACGGUAUCUUACCAGAAAGGGACGGCUAACUACGUG
Molecule: ribosomal RNA, 505 nt
Filed under: uncultured bacterium
Lineage: Bacteria
Description: partial 16S ribosomal RNA
Rfam family: Bacterial small subunit ribosomal RNA
Source: RNAcentral